GCGCUGAUUUGCUCUAUGCGGGAAGAAUAACCACGGUAACCUGUGGCUAAGAGUGUAGAAUAAGGUGCAAUCCUAUUAGUUUGUUGGUAGUGUAAAGGACUACCAAGGCAGUGAUGGGUAACGGGAAAUCAGGGUUUGAUUCCGGAGAGGGAGCCUGAGAGAUGGCUCCCACGUCCAAGGAUGGCAGCAGGCGCGAAAAUUGUCCACUCUUUUGAGAGGAGACAGUUAUGAAACGUGAGUAGAAGGGUCGAGUGUAAAAACCUUGACGUGAAGCAAUUGGAGGGCAAGUUUUGGUGCCAGCAGCCGCGGUAAUUCCAACUCCAAGAGUGUCUAUGGUGGAUGCUGCAGUUAAAGGGUCCGUAGUCGUAGAUGCAAUUAAAAGGUGGUGUUAAAAGCCAUUGAGUUUGUUGAGAGUAGCGGAACGGAUAGGGAGCAUGGUAUAGGUGGGCAAAGAAUGAAAUCUCAAGACCCCACCUGGACCAACGGAGGCGAAAGCGAUGCUCUUAGACGUAUCUGGGGAUCAAGGACGAAGGCUAGAGUAUCGAAAGUGAUUAGACACCGCUGUAGUUCUAGCAGUAAACUAUGCCGACAAUGCUGGGUGUUGCGAGAGCGAUGCUUGGUGUGGGAGAAAUCUUAGUUUUCGGGCUCUGGGGAUAGUACGCUCGCAAGGGUGAAACUUAAAGCGAAAUUGACGGAAGGACACUACCAGGAGUGGAUUGUGCUGCUUAAUUUAACUCAACGCGGGAAAACUUACCAGGGUCAAGUCUAUCGUAGAUUGGAGACAUGAGGUAGACAAGAGUGGUGCAUGGCCGUUGGAAAUUGAUGGGGCGACUUUUAGCUUAAGUGCUGGAACCAGUGAGAUCUUCUAGACAGGUGUUAUUUAGGCACAGGAGGGAGAAGGCAAUAACAGGUCCGUGAUGCCCUUAGAUAUCCUGGGCAGCAAGCGCAAUACAAUAUCUCUUGAGAAGACAAAGCAAUUUGAGAUGAGUAGGAUUAGCUUUUGUAAAUAAGCUAUGAAU
RNAcentral lists this ribosomal RNA (1019 nucleotides) under Ecytonucleospora hepatopenaei. Its description in RNAcentral is "SSU rRNA". It matches the Rfam family "Microsporidia small subunit ribosomal RNA", at positions 99 to 1127 of the family's 1311-position model. The record is from RNAcentral. Lineage: Eukaryota; Fungi; Microsporidia; Enterocytozoonidae.